Molecule: unclassified non-coding RNA, 373 nt
Filed under: soil metagenome
Description: partial contains 5.8S ribosomal RNA, internal transcribed spacer 2, and large subunit ribosomal RNA
Rfam family: 5.8S ribosomal RNA (bases 1-120)
Source: RNAcentral
GAUGAAGAACGUAGCGAAAUGCGAUAAGUAAUGUGAAUUGCAGAACUCAGUGAACCAUCGAAUCUUUGAACGCACAUUGCGCCCCCUGGCAUCCCGGGGGGCACGCCUGUCCGAGCGUCAUGCGACCCUGUCGGGUGCCCUCUCGGGACACUUGUGUCCCGGGUCGGUCCCCGGUGUUGGAUCCGGCGCUGUCGCCCCUAAUCCCGGCGACGGUCGCCGAUCCGAAAUACGACCACCGUGUGACGGUCCGCCCCGUCCGAGCCACCGAGGCAUCUCGCCACGGCUCGGGACGACGGGUGCGGGAAAACUGAACGGUUGACCUCGGAUCAGGUGGGGAUACCCGCUGAACUUAAGCAUAUCAAUAAGCGGAGGA